Molecule: ribosomal RNA, 474 nt
Filed under: Triticum aestivum (bread wheat)
Lineage: Eukaryota; Viridiplantae; Streptophyta; Magnoliopsida; Poales; Poaceae
Description: partial small subunit ribosomal RNA
Source: RNAcentral
AUGACCGGAGGUCUUCCAAACGCAGCUGUUGAGAAUCUCAGAAACUUGCAACAACUGAACAUAUCUGGGAAUAGCUUGGACGGAAGCCUCCCAGCUUCGCUAUUCGCACUUCCUCACCUAAAGAUCCUAGAUCUCUCCUCCAAUGACUUCGAUGGGCAUAUUUCAAUAGGCUCAUUCUCAGGGCCAAUUUCACUUGAAGUCCUAGAUCUCGGUUUUAAUCGCCUCAACGGAACUCUCCCGGUUAGAGCUUUUAAACACAUCAGGAGCUUGAAUUUGGGUCACAACCAGUUUAGCGGAUCUCUCCCUGUGUCAUUAUUUGCACUUCCUCAGCUGAAUUCCCUAGAUCUCUCGUAUAAUUACUUUGAGGGACAUUUUCCUACUAGUGUGUCUUCAGAACCAGUUCAGCUUGAAGUCUUACAUCUAGAGUCUAAUAUGUUGAGUGGAGCUCUUCCGACUGAACGAGGUACACAAUGA